AGGAAGUUUGUGGUGUUGGAUAAA
Molecule: non-coding RNA, 24 nt
Filed under: Arabidopsis thaliana (thale cress)
Lineage: Eukaryota; Viridiplantae; Streptophyta; Magnoliopsida; Brassicales; Brassicaceae
Source: RNAcentral